Molecule: small nuclear RNA, 100 nt
Organism: Rhinopithecus bieti (black snub-nosed monkey)
Lineage: Eukaryota; Metazoa; Chordata; Mammalia; Primates; Cercopithecidae
Source: Ensembl
UUGCUUGCUUUGGCAACACAUAUACUAAAACUGGAAUACAGAGAUUAGCAUGGCCCCUGCGCAGGAUGACAUGCAGAUUCGUGAUGCAUUCCACUUUUUU